Long non-coding RNA from Toxorhynchites rutilus septentrionalis, 609 nucleotides. RefSeq lists it as uncharacterized. The transcript has 2 exons. The record is from RefSeq and is a predicted model, not a curated record. Lineage: Eukaryota; Metazoa; Arthropoda; Insecta; Diptera; Culicidae.
AAACCAGUUGAUAAUUUGCAAGUGAUAUGGAUGCUGAAAUUUUUAUUUCACUUCUUCAACAACUACCAGUGUUGUGGAACUAAUUCUGUGAUGCAAGUUUCUUCUCAAAGAGAAGCAAUGGUCACAGGUGCACGAUGUCAUCAUUUAGCAUAUUGCCACGGACUGUGUUAUUAACGGCAACAUCCCUUAUCUGAAAUAAUUAUUGAACGAGUUCGGGGAUGUCAAUUCCGCCCCAUUUCAAAAUACGUUCGCAAACCUUUUCCGUAAUUUGCAGAGCGCACACGUUCAUCUUAGGCGCAUCUCGUUUUACAAUGAUUCUCACAACGACGGCAACGUAAAUUUGCAAUGAUAAAUGAACAUGAAAAACUUACUGGACAAAAGACUUGGCUGUCAUCAACAGUAUUACAAAAACUAACUUUUGUCCAGUUGCUGUGUACUCAUUCACUCACUAAUUUAUUUUAUUUCUAAUCAUACACAAACAGCAUGAUUUAUUUCACACGCUCUGUUGCCACAUACUUUUUUAACAGUCUCAGAUAGUUAGAUAAAAAUGAACAAUUUUUUAUGAGCCAAUUAUAAUAACAUUGCCUAACAAGCCAGGGGCACUACUUA